CGAUGCAACGCGAAGAACCUUACCUGGUCUUGACAUCCACAGAACUUUCCAGAGAUGGAUUGGUGCCUUCGGGAACUGUGAGACAGGUGCUGCAUGGCUGUCGUCAGCUCGUGUUGUGAAAUGUUGGGUUAAGUCCCGCAACGAGCGCAACCCUUAUCCUUUGUUGCCAGCGGUCCGGCCGGGAACUCAAAGGAGACUGCCAGUGAUAAACUGGAGGAAGGUGGGGAUGACGUCAAGUCAUCAUGGCCCUUACGACCAGGGCUACACACGUGCUACAAUGGCGCAUACAAAGAGAAGCGACCUCGCGAGAGCAAGCGGACCUCAUAAAGUGCGUCGUAGUCCGGAUUGGAGUCUGCAACUCGACUCCAUGAAGUCGGAAUCGCUAGUAAUCGUGGAUCAGAAUGCCACGGUGAAUACGUUCCCGGGCCUUGUACACACCGCCCGUCACACCAUGGGAGUGGGUUGCAAAAGAAGUAGGUAGCUUAACCUUCGGGAGGGCGCUUACCACUUUGUGAUUCAUGACUGGGGUGAAGUCGUAACAAGGUAACCGUAGGGGAACCUGCGGUUGGAUCACCUCCUU
Molecule: ribosomal RNA, 580 nt
Filed under: Escherichia coli
Lineage: Bacteria; Pseudomonadati; Pseudomonadota; Gammaproteobacteria; Enterobacterales; Enterobacteriaceae
Description: bacterial SSU rRNA
Rfam family: Bacterial small subunit ribosomal RNA
Source: RNAcentral